Small nucleolar RNA from Lineus longissimus, 119 nucleotides. The record is from RefSeq and is a predicted model, not a curated record. NCBI's taxonomy places the organism in Eukaryota, Metazoa, Nemertea, Pilidiophora, Heteronemertea, Lineidae.
GUCCGAUGAUGAGUUUGCCAUGCUAAUACCGAGAUGUCACACCUUGUGGCUCUGCUGCCUGGCGCUGGAUAUCGCUGAGUUCAGCUAUUUCGCCCGUCAUGUUUGACAGACUGAGGACA